UACGUAGGGUGCGAGCGUUGUCCGGAAUUAUUGGGCGUAAAGGGCUCGUAGGCGGUCUGUUGCGUCGGUAGUGAAAACUCAGGGCUUAACCCUGAGCCUGCUUCCGAUACGGGCAGACUAGAGGUAUGCAGGGGAGAACGGAAUUCCUGGUGUAGCGGUGAAAUGCGCAGAUAUCAGGAGGAACACCGGUGGCGAAGGCGGUUCUCUGGGCAUUACCUGACGCUGAGGAGCGAAAGCAUGGGGAGCGAACAGG
RNAcentral lists this ribosomal RNA (253 nucleotides) under uncultured bacterium. RNAcentral describes it as "partial 16S ribosomal RNA". It matches the Rfam family "Bacterial small subunit ribosomal RNA", at positions 524 to 776 of the family's 1533-position model. The record is from RNAcentral.